Molecule: non-coding RNA, 1073 nt
Organism: Pogona vitticeps (central bearded dragon)
Lineage: Eukaryota; Metazoa; Chordata; Lepidosauria; Squamata; Agamidae
Source: RefSeq, a predicted model, not a curated record
UAAAGCCAGGAAAGGUUGGAGGAAGCAGGAGGAAGACCAAAUAUGAGAUGAAUUGACUCCAUAAAGCAAGCCACUCUCCUAAGAGAUGAACAGGGCUGUUAAUGGCAGGACAUUUUAGAGGUUAUUGCUGAGGUGAGCAACAAUCCAUGCUUUCCUUUGUGAGAAGCAGUGAACCAGCAGAGAUCUGUCUAGUUCUAAAUUUUACCAUCCUGAAUGUGAAGAAGAGGGAUGCUCUCAAGGAAGGACGGAUGAUGAUUCCAGAGCUUGGUACUUUUUGUGGAUGACAACUUUCCAACUCCUCAGCCAUAAUCCUUGGGGAUGGAGAGGCUAUGGUUUAAAAGGAAAAGGUUUGGACCAGAGUUUGCAGCAUUCAUGACUACUAGCCAUGCUCAUGGAACUGAUGAACUUUAAGAGAUCUGGACCCCUAAAAGUCCUGUUGACAUGCCCAACAUCUGAUUCAGGUGAAAAUGUGGCACGACUUGGGGAGAUGUUUGUUUUGAGAGUAAGCUGUCAAUGUUUCCUCAAUUCCCCCCUCAAAAAAAUAAAAUAAAGAGAGAGCGAGAGAGAGAAAGAAAGAACCCACCUGAAAAACCACACAAUUUCCUUACUCAUUUCUGCUUCCACAGUAGCCUUCUCUGUGUUGUACUUUAAGCAAUCUUUUUCUGGGCAAUGUUUGAUCAACUUGAAAAAAAAUGGUCUGAUGUGUACACAAGUGCUUUUUCCUUACUUUUCGUUCUUGUUGUCACCACAAGUAUCAGACACAUGAAGAAGAAAAGGCUAAUUGAGCUGAAAGUAAAAUGGAAGGAAGUAAAUGACAUGGUGGGGAUCUUAAACUGAAAAAAAGCUGUUUGUUUUUGUGUCCUGUGCUGUGGCAGUAAUUUCUUAAGUCCUCAGAAGUCCCAGGUGAUAAAGACAAACACUUACCAGAAAUGUUAGGUCUUCUGGGCGAAGGGUAAAACAUGGGCUAAAGGGAGUGUGUCAAGUUUUUCAAAGACAAUUGAAUCUUGAAAUGUUAAACAGCCAAUUCUGGAUAAAUUUCUAUCAGAAGUAAGAAUUCAAAGUGGUAGGAAGCA